CCUUGUAUUGGGGCCAUGGGAAAAUAUUUACCAUGAAUAUAAUUGCUGCAUACUUGUAUGCAUUUACAUUAAUUAAUUGUCUAUCUCUUUACAUAUAUUUGUACAUGCCUUGGUACAGACCAGUAGUCAUUAUUUUGUCCUCUUUUUCCACUUUUACUUUUUUGCACAUACUCAGUCUAUUAUUAGCUUUUCUCCGUUUUUGUUUUGAAGGUCAUCGACUGAGUUUAGUUCUAUGCUACUUCGGGGGUCAAACAUGUUUUUUGACUUCUUAUGACUUUUGAUACUGGAGGGGUUCUACGUUAUUUUCCUAGGAUAGCAUCAAUAGCAUGAGUGCUCAAUCACUCCUUGCUCUCCUAAUCAUAUCUGGUAUCUAUUUUUUGUGGUUUUCUUGUCUGGUGAAAGAUGCUCUUCCCGACAUUUUAAUGUUAAUUUUACCUGGGAUAUAGUACGAAAAAAAGGAAGCUGAAAAGGAACUCUUAAAGGGUUUUACCUGGGAUAUGCUUGGGUCUUCUUGUUCAAUAUAUUUCUGGGAGUUCAGGUGUUUCCAGGGCAGAAACGCUCAGACGUUGACAAUUCAUUUCUUCUUUAUGCUUGUUUCCUAACUUUCUCUUUUUCUAUUUCUCUUUUUUUGUUCUCU
Non-coding RNA from Pelobates cultripes (western spadefoot toad), 637 nucleotides. NCBI's taxonomy places the organism in Eukaryota, Metazoa, Chordata, Amphibia, Anura, Pelobatidae. The record is from the annotation of a GenBank genome assembly.